Molecule: long non-coding RNA, 2332 nt
Organism: Cervus elaphus (red deer)
Lineage: Eukaryota; Metazoa; Chordata; Mammalia; Artiodactyla; Cervidae
Exons: 6
Source: RefSeq, a predicted model, not a curated record
CUGGGACACGGGGCGAUGGCGGGUCCGUGCCCACCCCUAAGAGGCCGGGAGGAACGCGAGAAGGCCCAGGGAACCCUUUGGGGAGGCGCCGCCCCUGAGAUGUGGAGCCAGGGAGAUACCACCGCGCGGAAUGGGGGGUCCAGCCAGGCCUGGGAUGAAGACAGGACCGGAAGUGUUGCCAGAUGAACAGGCAGGCUUGAGCAGCUUGGCAGGGCAUCCCGGAGCUUCCCGAAGGAGCCGCUGCGCCGCAAGGAGCCGCUGCCGUCCUGCAGGGAGGCCGACAGGUUUGUCUCUGCCUCACCAGCUACACAGCCCCCUGGGCCAGCCAGCCCCUGGACUCACCCCGCUCCACUCGGCUGCAGGCCCUGCCUCCUCCAGGCACUGGGGCUUUGUCAUCCCCAGGAAGAGCGCUCCGGCAGAUGACUGCAGUCAGGGAGGGGCCUCACCGGUAGACCAGCGCCAGGAUGUUCAGCAUGGUGGCCACGUCCGGGUGGUCGUGGCCCGAGGUCUUCUCCAGGUCCUCCAGGGCCUGCUUGCAGAGGGGCACGGCCACCUCGUAGCGGCCCUGCGAGGCAUACUGGAUCACCAGGUUGUGCAGCGUGCGCAGCCGCGCCGGGAUCUCAUAGCCCCCGUGCUGGGCGGCCACAUCGCCUCCUCCAGGGCUAGGGGCUGCGAAGCCAAGGGGAGGAGGUCAGAUGCACCAACUGUCCCCCGAGCUGGGGGAUAGCUUUGACUGAUCUCAGGCGUGGCCCUGGGCAAAUCACUAACUGUAACCCUCUGUCAGUUUCCCCUUCUAUAGAGUGGGUCUAGUCACUCCAUAGAAAGAGAGGGUGGAGUCCCAGCUCCAGUAAUUCAAGCUAUGUGGCCCAGAGCAAGCCGCCUAACCCCCUAGUGGAGCAUCCGCCUCCUCAUCUGCAGAAGGGAGGCUCUGAUUGGCACAUGACAUGAUGAACAAGGCCAGCACUGGCCUGGGGCUCCGCACUGUGCAUCCGUCCUCCUUUAACCCUCGGGGGAGGCUCGGAGAAGAAAAGAAACUCUACCAGCGGUCACAGAGCAAAGAGUGCAAGUCAGGGAUCACACCCAGGCCGGGCGGCUCCAGGGCUCUGAAUUGUGAUGCCUGCUUCUCACGGAACUUGAAGUGAUGAGAGAAGCAACAGGUAAAGCUGGCCUUUUAAACUCUCAUGCUGGGAUGUUAUGAUCAGAAAUGAGGCAGGGAAGAACCUGGUGGUCACUCAGACCUUGUUUCCUGUGACCUCUGGGCCCUAGGGACCGGUUCACCCAGCCUUCCUUCCCCACCCCCAGAGCCAGCCGCCCCUCCAGAACCUGGGUUCUGCUCCUCCUCACUGGGGAACAGGUCAUCCAGAGAGUCUUUGGGGACAUCCCCUUUGUCCUCCUGGGGAGGGAGACAGGGUGUCAGGGAAGGUGGGCAGCCCAGGGGUCAGCGGGCUAGGUGGGAACCGCACCUGCUCCCUGCCACCUCCCCUGCUUCCAGCCCCCCUCACCGCCCCCCACACCCUACAGUGGCCUUGCAGUGGCCACGCCAGGGCUCACGUGGGGGGAGGUGUCCUCGUCCAACUUGCGGAUCUGGCUCAUGAACAGCAAGUGCUGCUUCUCCUCCUCGAGCUGGGCCACGGCCUGCUCGCUGCGCUGCAGCUUCUGCUGCGUCCCCGCCAGCUCCUCACGCAGCCACUGGUUCUCCUGCACCAAGCGCCGCACCUGGGCCCGCAGCUUCUGCUUCUCCGACUCCACAGCCCCCAAGUGGCUCGAGAGCGCCAAGAUCACCUGUGGCAGCCAGCCGGGAUGGAGGAGUUGUAUUCAAGCCCUGUAGCCAGAGCCACUACAUCACUGCCCCUGGCCCGGGGCUAGCACUUUUCCAAAGAUUCCUGAGAGAUGGCUGAAAGGAUACCAAGAGACCCUAUCCUGACUUCUGCCCAGAGGCCACCUGCAGCUCCCAGGGAGGGAAGGAGUCUUGAUUUAAAUGUCAUUCCUUCAGAAGUGUGGCUUGACCAAUAGAUAAGACCUCCUGCCAUAAGUUUUUUUUUGAGAACUCACUGUAACGUUAAAUAAAUAUAUGUAUUUCUGACUCUUCUCCUACUAGACCUGGCAGGGAUCUUGUCUGUCUUGGACCUGUAUCCCUGACACCUAACACAUUUCCUGGCGCUCAGUAGGCACUUGAUAACUUACCUGUUAACAAAUGAAUAAAAGAAUAAAUGAGGGGAGGGGUCCUUAAGGACUUCCUUUUUGUUUCCCUAGGCCAUGCAGUCUCUGCUAGGUAGCAGAGAAGUCAGACGAUCAGCCUUCCUGGGCCUAGGUCCAGCUAGGGUCUUCAAAA